UCGGCCGGUCCGUCCGUCGUCGCCGCUCCGCCACACACGACGGCGCCGCCCGCUGCCCGCCGGCGGUUCCCCGUGACGCGGCCUCCGGCGCUCUAGGAUCUUGCAGGGGCUGCCUCGUCAUAAUCCCCACGCCCCCACCCCCACCCCCACGCACUGACCUCCUCAUCAUCCCCACUUCAGGCCGCAGGAUGCAGCAGGGGCUUCAGCAACAGGUAAAUCGCCGCUUCAGGGGCGACGGCCGGCAAGGCCAGGCACUGUUUGCCGGCAGGUUUGCAGUGUGAAGCUUCUAUUUGUUAUGUCUAGAGAAGAUCAAUCCGGCUUUCACAUCAUAUGCUUGGAGUAUGCAAGUAAAUGUAUGAUGACUGCGACAUCCCUGCUUGCAACUUGAUCUUACAACAAGUUUGCAACUGUGAUAGUUUUGCAAAGCUAGUAUCCAUGAAUUUUUCGGAGGACUUUGAAUAUUACUAGUAAUGAGCAUUAUAAAAAUAUUUCUGCGUUCCUCACUGCAGGUACAAUCCGUUAAUCACUGUGUUUUUCUGACCAAUUUCAUAAUUCAUGGAUUCGAUUACCUGUGUUGGCGCUGGUUCUUCCAAGUAGUUUCCCUUGUGCCCUGUUUUCUACUUGUUAACACUGAUAUAAUUGCAAGAAUACCAUGGCAAAGACAACAAGUGCUAAACAAUGUGCUUGAUCAGUAUACUACUUUCUCCUUUGUUUAUAGUCAAUUAGCUGUGAAGCUACAGAAGGCAAUUUGCUCAGAUGAAGAAUAUUGGUUUGCCUUAUUCAGGAAACAUAUUUCUUAAAUGUGCUAUUUACAAGAAAUUCUGACAUAGGACAUCCAUAACAUAUUCUAGGACCUUCCAUAUGUGUCAUGGACUAACUCCUGGGUUCUGGUUCUACAGUAUGACAGUAACCACCCAAUCACUCUGCCAAACUGCCAUAUAUGUGUCUGAUACCUGGGGAUACACGCGUUGGGGAUAUUGGGAAACUUUGUCUUCCAAUUUUUUUCCUCAUAUCACUCUUUGAUACUUCCUGAUGUUUCGUGGUUCAAUGCCUCCUGAAGUGCCCCCCAAAAAAUCUUGAGGUGGAAAAACUUUUAGAAGAAAUUAUAAUCUAGCACAUCCACAAUACACUCUAGGACCUUCCCUUUGUGUUGUGGACUAACUUCUGGCUUCUGGUUCUACAAUAUGACAGUAACUAUCCACGGGGAUAUGCUAUUCUGCCCCACCAUUUUGCCAAACUGCCAUAUGUGUGUUCGAUACCUGGAGAUACAGGCAUCAAAGAGUAUUGGGGAACUUUGACUUUCAAGAUUAAGAAAUCAUGAUAUCCCACCAUUACUCUUCGACGCUUCCGACACUUCAUGGUUUAGAACCCCCUGAAGUUCCCUCCCCAUAAAAAGAUUUGAAUCUAACCCCACGAAAGCCAUUAGAUCUAUAACUAUAAACCCUAGCAAACCUUAUCAAUCUCAGAUCUAACCUGGGAACCCUCGACGCUGCCCUUGGUGAAUCCUUGACAUCGCUCCCUUGGUCCAUUGGACGAUGCCUGCGCCAUACGGCAGCAAUGGCGCUCCAACCCGGCAAGCCAUGAGGAAGAGGUGGCUUCGCUUGCCUCGGCGGAAGGAGCGGCUUGGUUACUCAUCAGCCGGCGGUGCCGAGACGCACAAGGAACACCGAAUCGAUGUGCCAGGCCGCCGGCGUAGGAGGAUGGCAACCCUUUUGGUGGAAGAGGGCAUCAUGGAACUGCUCUUGCGGAGGUGCUGGCCUGGCGGCGCUGCAUCCGCCCCAUGGGUGGUGGCUGCCAAGCGCAAGGGCAGCCCUAGGUUACUUUGUGUGUAGCCGUGUUUGCUGCGAGCAUAUAGGCCUAUAUGGGCCCAGCCAGCUGUCACUCACCCUUUCCAUUUUCUCUUGGGCCCAAUAUGAAUACGAAUAUUAUUUGGAACAUAAUUAAGAAUAUUUGGUGUGUUUUGUGAAGAAACGCUUAGGGAGUAGGACGAAUAUGCCCUUCUAUUGUAAUAUCCAAUUUAGAGUAUUAGGAGACUAGAUAUACAGUUUUUAUUCAGGCAGUAACAUUUUUCCAUACUCAUACUUGUCUUUGUUGCCAUACCGGCAUGUCAGCACUCACCACCCACAUCGUGUAUUCAGGAAGCUUAGGAGAUAUUCAAGCAGACUUGUCUUAGGCUCUGGUAGUAUCCUUGAGAAGUUAUCAAAUUCUAUUAAGCACUCAGCCCCAGCUUCAAUAGCUCCCUUUCAUAUCAGCUUCUGAUAACGUGUGUUAUGCUUCAGUGUAUUUAGUAUACAACUGAACUAUCAGAAGAAAAAAAGAGUAGACAAAAUGCAUACAAUUCACAUGGCUGUGAGUCAAGUUUAUCUAGAGGUUGAGUACCAUGCAUCCAACAACGCAAUGGCUUAGGUCAUUGGACAUAGAAAUGAUCAGGUAGGUUUUAUGUUAUUCACCUUAUUUUCGAGUUGAAUUCUUGCUUCUCGUUUUACAAUGCAACUCAGCAACUAAAAAGGUAGAGUAUUUGCUUGUGUUUAUUCACCUAUUUAACAUCCAGGACUUCCUUGGUUUGAGUCUCCAAAUUGACAGACAAACCAUAUAUUAUUAGCCAAUUUGGGUUUUCAUGCAGCCUUUUGCACUCUCUUUGCUCUUUGUUGAGAGCAUUCAUUUUAUUUACUUGAGUUGUGAUGUAUUGUUUCUCCUCUACAAAGAUCAAUAUGGACCGUCACUAAGAAUGUUCCUUCUGGGAGGCAGUUAUGGUUAGUAUCUACUAGUGCUUUCCUCUGAUGCACCUUGCACCUUUUUUAUGGAAAUUGCAGACUUACGGCCUUGCAACUGGAUAGCCUUAGUUCCAUUCCUUUAAUGGUUGGUAUCUCCACUACUACUUAUUUUUCUCGAGACUCAUCUUUGACUGCUGUUUGUAUCAGUUUCGCAGCACCUAGCCACUUGAAAGGAUAUGGUAUGAUUAAAUACCUAAAACAUACCCUGUUUUGCAAUAGGGAUAUUCUGUGUCUUGCUUUGUCAUAUGUAGGAUUGUGUUCCCAUUAUGCAGCUAGGAAGGCAGGUAGUCCAGAGUCCACGUCGAACUCUUAACACCUUUUGUUACAAAAGAAAAGUGGUGUGCGCCUACCCAUUCGGAUUUUACCCUUAAGCAAAAUAGACCUGACAUAGCAAAAUUUUCUUUAUCCAUCCAAUGUGUAUUGGCCAGUGUGGUGAUGCAUUUUGUUUUGCUUCUGUUGCUGCUACGAUAUGCAUUGUGCAGAAUAUAUCAUCAUUAUAUAUUUUUUAUGUAAAAUAUCAUAUUCUAAUGGUAAGCAUAUGUUCAUUUAUACCACGUUGCAAUGUUGCUUCAUUCUAGUUUAUUUUCUUCUGUUUUAAUUCAGAUGUGAUUCAAGCAACAUUGGCUAUUUUGAAGGGUGAAUUCAGUCAAAGGAAUUGCGUUUCAACGCGUGUAAUUUUUGCCACCCAUACUGCUAAUGGACCAACAGCUUUUGUUUGGUAUCAGCAUUGAACGACUUAUGGCUCCUUUUGAUUCAAAAGAAUUUGACAGGAACUUUGGAGGAUUUGAGUCAGUAGGAUUUGCUUUUCCUUGGGAAGACUUUUCCCUUGUGCUACAGUUAUUUUGUUUCUCUUAUGAUGUGCCAAACAAUCUUUGAUGUUGAAUUACAUGACACACCAAUGCUUCGCUUUUCUUAUUCUUGUGUGUUGAGUAACCUUGUGGAUCAGAGCCCUUUGAUUUGGUGGAUUGGAUAUGGGUUUGUACAUUUGUCAUCUUAGGAUGUAAUUUUU
Molecule: long non-coding RNA, 3783 nt
Organism: Triticum dicoccoides
Lineage: Eukaryota; Viridiplantae; Streptophyta; Magnoliopsida; Poales; Poaceae
Exons: 2
Source: RefSeq, a predicted model, not a curated record